Molecule: long non-coding RNA, 761 nt
Organism: Cyprinus carpio (common carp)
Lineage: Eukaryota; Metazoa; Chordata; Actinopteri; Cypriniformes; Cyprinidae
Exons: 3
Source: RefSeq, a predicted model, not a curated record
CAGACAGUACUGCAGGGAUCGUGGAGCUGAUCUGGUCAUUAUCAACACUGAAGAGAAGCAGAGGUUCAUAUCUUCAUUAGUCAGUGAGAGAGUGUGGAUUGGUUUGUCUGACACAGAGAACGAGGGCAUCAUGAAAUGGGUGGAUAAUUCACCACUGAAACAAGGGUUUUGGCUCAAAGGUGAGCCAAACAACACUAACAAUGAGGACUGUAUUGAACUGAAUUAUAAUAGAGGGAAGCCGGGAUGGUCACCGCUGAACAGCUGGAAUGAUGUUGCAUGCUCUGAGAAGAAAAAGGGGAUUUGUGAGAAAUAGGGUUCAUCUCCUCUUGUGGUUUUGCUUUUAUUAUCUAAUAUAAUCAUUCUUAUUGUCAAUGCUGUUUCUGAUUGAGGUCCCUGCCUUAAAAAAAAAAAAAAAAAAAAAAACAAUCAGCUGUUCUUACAUUUGUAAGAAGGACAUUGUAAAAAUGUCAUUAUUUUCUUAUUGCUAUAAUAAUCUUCAGUUUCUCAUGAUGUGAAUUUGGAUGAUCUGGGACUCCAAACCUCUGAUGUGUUCAUGUUUUGCUCCAUCACAAGCAGCUCUAUAUUAAUAUGAUCUUAUUCUAGCUGUGAUCAUGAGUCUCUUUUGUUGAUCUGAAGUGUUGAGGAGACAAUCACAGUAAACUACAGAAGUCUAAAGUGUCUAGAUUACUCUUAUUCUGAUGUUGAGUGUCUGUAAUUGCUUUCUCUCUGAAUAAAUUUGUCACUUACCAUAGUAAACUGCA